GUGUCAGCAGCCGCGGUAAGACGAAGGAUGCAAGCGUUAUCCGGAUUCAUUGGGUUUAAAGGGAGCGUAGGUGGCCUUAUAAGUCAGUGGUGAAAUCUCGCAGCUUAACUGCGAAAUUGCCAUUGAUACUGUAGGGCUUGAGUAUAGUUGCCGUUGGCGGAAUAUGACAUGUAGUGGUGAAAUACAUAGAGAUGUCAUAGAACACCGAUUGCGAAGGCAGCUGACGAAACUAUAACUGACACUGAGGCUCGAAAGUGCGGGGAUCAAACAGGAUUAGAUACCCCGGUAGUCC
RNAcentral lists this ribosomal RNA (292 nucleotides) under uncultured bacterium. RNAcentral describes it as "partial 16S ribosomal RNA". It matches the Rfam family "Bacterial small subunit ribosomal RNA", at positions 505 to 796 of the family's 1533-position model. The record is from RNAcentral.